GACGAACGCUGGCGGCAUGCCUAAUACAUGCAAGUCGAGCGGAUCUUGUUAGUAGCUUGCUACUAACUUGGUUAGCGGCGGACGGGUGAGUAACACGUAGGCAACCUGCCCUUAAGAUCGGGAUAACAUUCGGAAACGAAUGCUAAGACCGGAUAAACAAUUUGGCUGCAUGGCUGAAUUGGGAAACGCGGAGCAAUCUGCGGCUUAGGGAUGGGCCUGCGGCGCAUUAGCUAGUUGGUGGGGUAAAGGCUCACCAAGGCGACGAUGCGUAGCCGACCUGAGAGGGUGAACGGCCACACUGGGACUGAGACACGGCCCAGACUCCUACGGGAGGCAGCAGUAGGGAAUCUUCCACAAUGGGCGAAAGCCUGAUGGAGCAAUGCCGCGUGAGUGAGGAAGGCUUUCGGGUCGUAAAGCUCUGUUGCCAGGGAAGAAUAAGGGUGAGAGUAACUGCUCAUUCGAUGACGGUACCUGAGAAGAAAGCCCCGGCUAACG
This 495-nucleotide ribosomal RNA is filed under the name uncultured bacterium. RNAcentral's name for it is "bacterial SSU rRNA". It matches the Rfam family "Bacterial small subunit ribosomal RNA", at positions 28 to 502 of the family's 1533-position model. The record is from RNAcentral.